Molecule: long non-coding RNA, 468 nt
Filed under: Rosa chinensis
Lineage: Eukaryota; Viridiplantae; Streptophyta; Magnoliopsida; Rosales; Rosaceae
Description: sRNA RchiOBHm_Chr2g0158601
Source: RNAcentral
UCAAAGGAUUGAAGAGAUUUCAUACUGAGUUUGUAGAGAGCGAGGUUGUGAAUCACCUCGGAUGAAAGAAGCCAUCGACCAUCAAAACUCGUUCCUCGUGCUUCAACCCGAGACCAUGGAGACGCUCCAGCGACAACACAAUCAGCACUGAGUAGGAGGUUGAAACCAUGGCAGUGAUUGAACCUAAGUUGAUUUCAGCAAUCGAUCCCCAGAAAGUUGAAAUAAAAUGAAUAAUAUCAAGAAUCUGAUCAAUUUCAAUUUCAAUUUCGGAACUGCAAAGAAGCAAUAGGACUGGAUACUGGACCAUGAAUAGAAGCAAUUGUUGACUGGAAAAAAAAAAAAAAAGCAAUUGAAACUCUGACUCUGAUUCCUACCCGAUGGUCCCACCAUGUCAGAAUUGCAAAGAAGCCACGCUCAGCAAAAACUGAGACAAUUAAGGGGAAAGCAACCCCUCUACAGGGCACUGAC